ACCUUACACUCUGUGCCUGCGACUGUCAUCAUAGGUGAUAGGAAUGAAAGCAUUCCUAUCACCUAUGAUGAUAGUCAUAUCACCAAUGAUGAUAUCAU
Paramuricea clavata is the source of this 98-nucleotide non-coding RNA. NCBI's taxonomy places the organism in Eukaryota, Metazoa, Cnidaria, Anthozoa, Malacalcyonacea, Plexauridae. The record is from the annotation of a GenBank genome assembly.